UGCCCACUUUGGCAGCACAAUACUAAAAGUAGAACCAUACAGAGAAUAGCAUGUCCUCCAUUUAAGAAUGACAUGUAAAUUCUUAAAGCUCUCCAUAUUAAA
Molecule: small nuclear RNA, 102 nt
Filed under: Notamacropus eugenii (tammar wallaby)
Lineage: Eukaryota; Metazoa; Chordata; Mammalia; Diprotodontia; Macropodidae
Source: RNAcentral